AUACGUAGGGGGCGAGCGUUGUCCGGAAUGAUUGGGCGUAAAGGGCGCGUAGGCGGCCCGGUAAGUCUGGAGUGAAAGUCCUGUUUUUAAGAUGGGAAUUGCUUUGGAUACUGUCGGGCUUGAGCGCAGGAGAGGUAAGUGGAAUUCCCAGUGUAGCGGUGAAAUGCGUAGAGAUUGGGAGGAACACCAGUGGCGAAGGCGACUUACUGGACUGUAACUGGCGCUGAGGCGCGAAAGCGUGGGGAGCGAACAGGAUUAGAUACCCUGGUAGUCCACGCGGUAAACGAUGAAUGCUAGGUGUAGGGGGUAUCGACCCCUCCUGUGCCGGAGUGAACACAAUAAGCAUUCCGCCUGGGGAGUACGGCCGCAAGGUUGAAACUCAAAUGAAUUGACGGGG
This 397-nucleotide ribosomal RNA is filed under the name uncultured bacterium. RNAcentral describes it as "partial 16S ribosomal RNA". It matches the Rfam family "Bacterial small subunit ribosomal RNA", at positions 523 to 918 of the family's 1533-position model. The record is from RNAcentral.